Molecule: ribosomal RNA, 253 nt
Filed under: uncultured bacterium
Lineage: Bacteria
Description: partial 16S ribosomal RNA
Rfam family: Bacterial small subunit ribosomal RNA
Source: RNAcentral
UACGUAGGGAGCAAGCGUUAUCCGGAUUUACUGGGUGUAAAGGGUGCGUAGGCGGCUUGGUAAGUCGAAAGUGAAAUUUCGGGGCUCAACCCCGGAGCUGCUUUCGAAACUGCCGAGCUAGAGUGUGGGAGAGGAAAGCGGAACUUUGAGUGUAGCGGUGAAAUGCGUAGAGAUUCAAAGGAACACCAGUAGCGAAGGCGGCUUUCUGGACCAUUACUGACGCUGAGGCACGAAAGCGUGGGGAGCGAACAGG